RNAcentral lists this ribosomal RNA (467 nucleotides) under uncultured bacterium. RNAcentral describes it as "partial 16S ribosomal RNA". It matches the Rfam family "Bacterial small subunit ribosomal RNA", at positions 28 to 507 of the family's 1533-position model. The record is from RNAcentral.
GACGAACGCUGGCGGCGUGCUUAACACAUGCAAGUCGAACGGAAAGGCUCCAGCUUGCUGGAGUACUCGAGUGGCGAACGGGUGAGUAACACGUGGGUAAUCUGCCCUGCACUCUGGGAUAAGCCUGGGAAACUGGGUCUAAUACUAGAUAUGACCUUUCUCCUUAUGGGGUUUGGUGGAAAGUUUUUCGGUGUAGGAUGAGCCCGCGGCCUAUCAGCUUGUUGGUGGGGUGAUGGCCUACCAAGGCGACGACGGGUAGCCGGCCUGAGAGGGUGAUCGGCCACAUUGGGACUGAGAUACGGCCCAGACUCCUACGGGAGGCAGCAGUGGGGAAUAUUGCACAAUGGGCGGAAGCCUGAUGCAGCGACGCCGCGUGAGGGAUGACGGCCUUCGGGUUGUAAACCUCUUUCAGCAGGGACGAAGCGUAAGUGACGGUACCUGCAGAAGAAGCACCGGCUAACUAUGUG